RNAcentral lists this long non-coding RNA (1098 nucleotides) under Piliocolobus tephrosceles (Ugandan red Colobus). Its description in RNAcentral is "lncRNA (ENSPTEG00000010426.1)". Lineage: Eukaryota; Metazoa; Chordata; Mammalia; Primates; Cercopithecidae. The record is from RNAcentral.
CAAAAACGUCAAUUCCAUACUUACAUAAUACAUAAUUUUUAAAAAUAUAAAAAAAAUAUAUGCAUUUAUAUAUUACGCUUUAUACAUUAUUUUGAAUUAAUUAAAAAAAAAAAAAAAAAAAAAAAAAACUUUAUAGCAUAUAUAUUCACUUUUAUUAUAUAUAGCUAUAGAGUUUUUUUAAUUAAAAGUUAGAUAAUUAAAAUUUGUUUUUUAUUACAUAUAUAUAUAUAUAUAUUCAUAAACAUAUAUAAUCUUAUUCAUACAUUAAAUAUAAUUGAUUUUAUUAUUAUUUAUUUAUUUUUUUUUUUUUUUAUUAAUAUAUAUAAUAUAUAAACAUAUCAUAUUCUCAUAACUUUUUUAUAAAAAGUAAAAAAGAAAAAAAAAGUAACGGUAAAACUUAAAGAAGAUAAAAAAAAAAAAAAAAAAAAAAAAAAAAAGGGAGUAGAUAAAUAUCAUUUUAUAUGAAAGAGAAAACACAACUGAAAAAACAAAGCAUAGGAAUUACUCAAGAAUUAGCAAGGUAUUAUUUAAAAGAGAUAGAAAAAAAUUUAAAGUCAUAGCGAAUAGAAUUACUCCAUACUGCACAGAAAUAUCAAGAUACAAAAAGGAAAUAAUAAGAGCACGAAAAUUUUUAAAAGAUUAUAGAAAAAAUUACAAAUUUUUAUAUUCAAAGAAAAAUAUAAUUAAUUCAGAAGGUGAAAAGAAAGUAAAAAGAAAAAAUUCAUUAGAAAAAAAAAAAAGCACAAAUUUAAACCUUUUAGAAAGAACUUCAAAAAGUAAAAAGAAAAAGAACCAAGUUAUAACAGCACAUCGAAUUAAUUAUAAUAUUGUUUUUAAAAAAACAUAUAUAACAAAUAUAAAACCUCAUACAAAUCUGUUAUUAAAUUUAAAAGGUUCUAAAAGACAUCGUUUAAGUAAAAAAGGUCUUCAUUUUAACGAUAAGUUAAAAAAUGAUAUUAUUUUAAAAAAAAAUAGUAGUGCGGAAAAUUCUAUUCAAAGUAAGGAAAAGAAUAAAAAUAAUAGAACUAAAGAAAAUGAUGUGAAUAAAAGUGAUAAUAAUGAAAUAAAUCAUAAGUAUAAAAUAUUAAAUGAAAAUUU